RNAcentral lists this ribosomal RNA (475 nucleotides) under uncultured bacterium. Its description in RNAcentral is "partial 16S ribosomal RNA". It matches the Rfam family "Bacterial small subunit ribosomal RNA", at positions 29 to 507 of the family's 1533-position model. The record is from RNAcentral.
AGUGAACGCUGGCGGUAGGCCUAACACAUGCAAGUCGAACGGCAGCACAGUAAGAGCUUGCUCUUACGGGUGGCGAGUGGCGGACGGGUGAGGAAUACAUCGGAAUCUACUUUUUCGUGGGGGAUAACGUAGGGAAACUUACGCUAAUACCGCAUACGACCUACGGGUGAAAGCAGGGGAUCUUCGUACCUUGCGCGAUUGAAUGAGCCGAUGUCGGAUUAGCUAGUUGGCGGGGUAAAGGCCUACCAAGGCGACGAUCCGGAGCUGGUCUGAGAGGAUGAACGGGGACAUGGGGCCUGAGAGACAGACCGCAGUCCGACGGGAGGCAGCAGUGGGUAAUAUUGAACAAUGGUGUCAAGCCGGAGACAGCGACGCCGCGUGGGGGAUUACGUCCUUCGGGUGGUAAACUCCAUGCAGCCAUGACCAAGCCCGUGUGGGAACGUUAGUGGAAGAAGAAGCACCGGCUAGCUACGUG